Molecule: ribosomal RNA, 292 nt
Filed under: uncultured bacterium
Lineage: Bacteria
Description: partial 16S ribosomal RNA
Rfam family: Bacterial small subunit ribosomal RNA
Source: RNAcentral
GUGCCAGCCGCCGCGGUAAUACAGAGGUGGCAAGCGUUGUUCGGAAUUACUGGGCGUAAAGGGCGCGUAGGCGGUUUUGUAAGUUCCGCGUGAAAUCCCCCGGCUCAACCGGGGAAUGGCGUGGAAAACUGCGAGGCUUGAGUUCGGGAGAGGGAAGCGGAAUUCCGGGUGUAGCGGUGAAAUGCGUAGAUAUCCGGAGGAACACCGGUGGCGAAGGCGGCUUCCUGGACCGACACUGACGCUGAGGCGCGAAAGCUAGGGGAGCAAACGGGAUUAGAUACCCUGGUAGUCC